This 429-nucleotide ribosomal RNA is filed under the name Acidobacteriota bacterium. RNAcentral's name for it is "Acidobacteria bacterium partial 16S ribosomal RNA". It matches the Rfam family "Bacterial small subunit ribosomal RNA", at positions 355 to 776 of the family's 1533-position model. The record is from RNAcentral. Lineage: Bacteria; Pseudomonadati; Acidobacteriota.
UGGGGAAUUUUGGACAAUGGGGGAAACCCUGAUCCAGCCAUCCCGCGUGUGCGAUGAAGGCCUUCGGGUUGUAAAGCACUUUUGGCAGGAAAGAAACGUCAUGGGUUAAUACCCCGUGAAACUGACGGUACCUGCAGAAUAAGCACCGGCUAACUACGUGCCAGCAGCCGCGGUAAUACGUAGGGUGCAAGCGUUAAUCGGAAUUACUGGGCGUAAAGCGUGCGAAGGCGGUUCGGAAAGAAAGAAGUGAAAUCCCAGAGCUCAACUUUGGAACUGCAUUUUUAACUACCGAGCUAGAGUGAGUCAGAGGGAGGUGGAAUUCCGCGUGUAGCAGUGAAAUGCGUAGAUAUGCGGAGAAACACCGAUGGCGAAGGCAGCCUCCUGGGAUAACACUGACGCUCAUGCACGAAAGCGUGGGGAGCAAACAGG